This 435-nucleotide ribosomal RNA is filed under the name uncultured bacterium. RNAcentral's name for it is "bacterial SSU rRNA". It matches the Rfam family "Bacterial small subunit ribosomal RNA", at positions 355 to 796 of the family's 1533-position model. The record is from RNAcentral.
UCGAGGAUCUUCGGCAAUGGGCGCAAGCCUGACCGAGCGACGCCGCGUGUGCGAUGAAGGCCUUCGGGUUGUAAAGCACUGUCGAGGGGGAGGAAAGCCCGCAAGGGCCUGACUAAUCCCUGGAGGAAGCACGGGCUAAGUUCGUGCCAGCAGCCGCGGUAAGACGAACCGUGCAAACGUUGUUCGGAUUCACUGGGCUUAAAGGGCGCGUAGGCGGGUGGUCAAGUCAGGGGUGAAAUCUUUCAGCUCAACUGGAAAAUAGCUUCUGAUACUGGCCGUCUUGAGGGAGGUAGGGGCAUGUGGAACUUCCGGUGGAGCGGUGAAAUGCGUAGAUAUCGGAAGGAACGCCGGUGGCGAAAGCGACGUGCUGGACCUUUUCUGACGCUGAGGCGCGAAAGCCAGGGGAGCAAACGGGAUUAGAUACCCCCGUAGUCC